GAUGAACGCUGGCGGCGUGCCUAAUACAUGCAAGUCGAGCGAACGGACGAGAAGCUUGCUUCUCUGAUGUUAGCGGCGGACGGGUGAGUAACACGUGGAUAACCUACCUAUAAGACUGGGAUAACUUCGGGAAGCCGGAGCUAAUACCGGAUGAUAUUUUGAACCGCAUGGUUCAAAAGUGAAAGACGGUCUUGCUGUCACUUAUAGAUGGAUCCGCGCUGCAUUAGCUAGUUGGUAAGGUAACGGCUUACCAAGGCAACGAUGCAUAGACGACCUGAGAGGGUGAUCGGCCACACUGGAACUGAGACACGGUCCAGACUCCUACGGGAGGCAGCAGUAGGGAAUCUUCCGCAAUGGGCGAAAGCCUGACGGAGCAACGCCGCGUGAGUGAUGAAGGUCUUCGGAUCGUAAAACUCUGUUAUUAGGGAAGAACAUAUGUGUAAGUAACUGUGCACAUCUUGACGGUACCUAAUCAGAAAGCCACGGCUAACUACGUG
This 497-nucleotide ribosomal RNA is filed under the name uncultured bacterium. RNAcentral describes it as "partial 16S ribosomal RNA". It matches the Rfam family "Bacterial small subunit ribosomal RNA", at positions 28 to 507 of the family's 1533-position model. The record is from RNAcentral.